AGAGUUUGAUCAUGGCUCAGAUUGAACGCUGGCGGCAGGCCUAACACAUGCAAGUCGAACGGUAACAGGAAGCAGCUUGCUGCUUUGCUGACGAGUGGCGGACGGGUGAGUAAUGUCUGGGAAACUGCCUGAUGGAGGGGGAUAACUACUGGAAACGGUGGCUAAUACCGCAUAACGUCGCAAGACCAAAGAGGGGGACCUUCGGGCCUCUUGCCAUCAGAUGUGCCCAGAUGGGAUUAGCUAGUUGGUGAGGUAACGGCUCACCAAGGCGACGAUCCCUAGCUGGUCUGAGAGGAUGACCAGCCACACUGGAACUGAGACACGGUCCAGACUCCUACGGGAGGCAGCAGUGGGGAAUAUUGCACAAUGGGCGCAAGCCUGAUGCAGCCAUGCCGCGUGUAUGAAGAAGGCCUUCGGGUUGUAAAGUACUUUCAGCGGGGAGGAAGGUGUUGUGGUUAAUAACCGCAGCAAUUGACGUUACCCGCAGAAGAAGCACCGGCUAACUCCGUGCCAGCAGCCGCGGUAAUACGGAGGGUGCAAGCGUUAAUCGGAAUUACUGGGCGUAAAGCGCACGCAGGCGGUCUGUCAAGUCGGAUGUGAAAUCCCCGGGCUCAACCUGGGAACUGCAUUCGAAACUGGCAGGCUUGAGUCUUGUAGAGGGGGGUAGAAUUCCAGGUGUAGCGGUGAAAUGCGUAGAGAUCUGGAGGAAUACCGGUGGCGAAGGCGGCCCCCUGGACAAAGACUGACGCUCAGGUGCGAAAGCGUGGGGAGCAAACAGGAUUAGAUACCCUGGUAGUCCACGCCGUAAACGAUGUCUACUUGGAGGUUGUGCCCUUGAGGCGUGGCUUCCGGAGCUAACGCGUUAAGUAGACCGCCUGGGGAGUACGGCCGCAAGGUUAAAACUCAAAUGAAUUGACGGGGGCCCGCACAAGCGGUGGAGCAUGUGGUUUAAUUCGAUGCAACGCGAAGAACCUUACCUGGUCUUGACAUCCACAGAACUUUCCAGAGAUGGAUUGGUGCCUUCGGGAACUGUGAGACAGGUGCUGCAUGGCUGUCGUCAGCUCGUGUUGUGAAAUGUUGGGUUAAGUCCCGCAACGAGCGCAACCCUUAUCCUUUGUUGCCAGCGGUUAGGCCGGGAACUCAAAGGAGACUGCCAGUGAUAAACUGGAGGAAGGUGGGGAUGACGUCAAGUCAUCAUGGCCCUUACGACCAGGGCUACACACGUGCUACAAUGGCGCAUACAAAGAGAAGCGACCUCGCGAGAGCAAGCGGACCUCAUAAAGUGCGUCGUAGUCCGGAUUGGAGUCUGCAACUCGACUCCAUGAAGUCGGAAUCGCUAGUAAUCGUGGAUCAGAAUGCCACGGUGAAUACGUUCCCGGGCCUUGUACACACCGCCCGUCACACCAUGGGAGUGGGUUGCAAAAGAAGUAGGUAGCUUAACCUUCGGGAGGGCGCUUACCACUUUGUGAUUCAUGACUGGGGUGAAGUCGUAACAAGGUAACCGUAGGGGAACCUGCGGUUGGAUCACCUCCUU
Molecule: ribosomal RNA, 1534 nt
Filed under: Salmonella enterica subsp. enterica serovar Hadar str. RI_05P066
Lineage: Bacteria; Pseudomonadati; Pseudomonadota; Gammaproteobacteria; Enterobacterales; Enterobacteriaceae
Description: bacterial SSU rRNA
Rfam family: Bacterial small subunit ribosomal RNA
Source: RNAcentral